GUGAGGAAUUUUCCGCAAUGGGCGAAAGCCUGACGGAGCAAUGCCGCGUGAAGGAUGAAGGCCUAUGGGUUGUAAACUUCUUUUCUCAGAAAAGAAAUAUGACGGUAUCUGAGGAAUAAGCAUCGGCUAACUCUGUGCCAGCAGCCGCGGUAAGACAGAGGAUGCAAGCGUUAUCCGGAAUGAUUGGGCGUAAAGCGUCUGUAGGUUGUUUAAAAAGUAUUCUGUCAAAGAUUAGGGCUUAAACCUAGAUAGGCAGAAUAAACUUUUAAGCUAGAGGUUGGUAGAGGCAGAGGGAAUUCCAGGUGGAGCAGUGAAAUGCGUAGAUAUCGGGAGGAACACCAAAGGCGAAGGCACUCUGCUGGGCCAAUACUAACACUGAGAGACGAAAGCGAGGGGAGCAAAUGGGAUUAGAAACCCUGGUAGUCC
RNAcentral lists this ribosomal RNA (426 nucleotides) under uncultured bacterium. RNAcentral describes it as "partial 16S ribosomal RNA". It matches the Rfam family "Bacterial small subunit ribosomal RNA", at positions 354 to 796 of the family's 1533-position model. The record is from RNAcentral.